Capsicum annuum is the source of this 16352-nucleotide long non-coding RNA. RefSeq lists it as uncharacterized. Lineage: Eukaryota; Viridiplantae; Streptophyta; Magnoliopsida; Solanales; Solanaceae. The record is from RefSeq and is a predicted model, not a curated record. The transcript is spliced from 7 exons.
AAGGGCUGUUGCUCCUCUUUGCAAUGCCUGUGAUUUCAGUUUUUGCUAUGAAAAGAGAAUAAUUCUACUGCCAUUUUGCAGUUAAACUCAGCCAAACGACCCCUAAAUCAUUGCAUGUUCUCUUCAAAUUCUCAACCCCAAGGUGAGUGAGAAUCAAUAGUAGUAUUAGUAGUAGCGAAAAUUUUGAUCAAAUUGGUAGUGCAGGAGAAAAACAGGAUCCGUAUCUUGGUGGGGCAACCCGGAUGGCAGGUGACCUUGCAACCGGUGCUUGCAGCCAUGGCGGCGAUUCCACUCUCUCUUUGCUGCAUCUGUAAGUAUUACAGAUCCAUGUUGCUCGGACUCUACAAGAAUGUCGACGGCUGUGAAUCGUAUCCUCGAAAAAUAGUUCAUUUUUGGAGGAUUCGACACGAGUGAGGCAACAUUUUUUGAGAGUUCGAGCAACAUAGGCGUCAAUGAUUAUUUGUUUAGGGAUUAUUGAAAAUCGCUUCUUUACAUCCACAAGAUUAGGGUGAGAAUACACUGGGUUGUUGUUGUUAUGUUGUUGCAGCUGGGAAAUUCGCAGGUUGAGAAACACUUGAGAAUUUUAUUUCCCCAUCAAAGGAAGAAAGCUUAGUCCAGAAGAGUAAGACCCCAUUUGGCCAUGAAAAUAAUAGUUUUUCAGUGUUGAAGUUGGAGUUGUGUUUGACUAUGAAUAUAAAUUGGAGCUGCUUUUGAAAUUCUGUGAGAGAAUUAAGAGUGAAAAAAGUGAAUUCACUUUUUUAAAAACAAUAUCUUCACUAAAGUGAAAUAAUUAUUUAGAGAAAAGUGAAAAAAUUCUCAUGACCAAACACCUACUAAAAGCUCAGAGGAAAGAAUUGAGGGUUGCAGAGAAUAGAGAGAAAGUUCAAAGGAAUGUUGCUCCUCUUUGCAAUACCCAUGAUUUUGUUUUGCUAGGUGAUUCUUCCCAUAUGUCUUAGCCUUUGGUGGUUAGAGUUACCUGUUGUUGUUAGUGGGAUUAUACCCGUGGAUUUAGUCGAGGUGCGCGAAAGCUGCCGUGGACACCACGAAAAAGUAAAAGCUCAUAAAUGAAGAAUGGGGUGUGCAGAUAGUAGAGGUGAAAAGUUCAAAGGGCUGUUGCUCCUCUCUGCAAUGCUCGUAAUUUCAGUUUUUGCUGUGAAAAAACCUAAAUUCUAAGCCGGGGGUCUAUCGGAAACAACCUCUCUAUCUCAUCUUUGAGGUAGUGAUAUGGACUGUGUACGCUUACCUUCGUCAGACCCCACUUGGUGGGAAUAUACUGUGUUUGUUGUUGUUGCUGUUAAAAAUAUAUAUUCAACAGCCCCCUUUCUCAGUUAAACUCAACCAAAUGACCCCUUAAGUGUUUGCUUGUUCUCAUCAAAUUCUCACACUCAAAGUGAGAAUCAAUGGUAGUAAUAGCUGUACUGAAAAUUCUGAGGCUGUGAUGAUGAUUUUCUUCUUUCUCUGAGCAAAUCGAUAGUACAGGAGAGAAAUUGGACCCGUAUCUUGGCGGGGCAACCCGGAUGGAAGGUGUCCCUGCAACUGGUUCUUGCAGCCAUGGCAGUGAUUCCAGUCUCUCUUGCUGUGUCGUAAGUAUUAGACAUCUGAGCUUCAAUGUUUGUUUUUUGGAAGAAUAACAUAAAUAUACAUCUUAACUUGCUAUAUUUACACAAAUUCCAUCCUUACAAAGUAGAGGUGAAAAGUUCAAAGGGCCCGUGAUUUCAAUUGUUGCUGUGAAAAAAAUAUAAAUUCUGAGCUAGGGGUUUAGGAAACAGCCUCUCUAUCUCAUCUGUGAGCUAGUGGUAUGGACUGUGUAUUUUGAGCUAGGGGUUUAGGAAACAGCCUCUCUAUCUCAUCUGUGAGGUAGUGGUACACUUACCCCUCUCGGACCCCGCUUGGUGGGAAUGUACUGGGUUUGUUUUUGUUGUUGUUGUUAAAUAUAAAUUCAACAACCCUUUUCUUAGUUAAACUCAGCAAAACGCCCCCUUAAGUGUUAGCUUGUUCUCACCAAAUUCUCACGAUCAAAGUGAGAAUCAAUGGUAGUAAUAGUUGUAGUGUAAAUUUUGAGGCUGUGAUGAUGAUUUUCUUCUUUCUCUGAGCAAAUUGAUAGUAGAUGAGAGAAAUUGGACCUGUAUCUUGGCGGGGCAACCCGGAUGGAAGGUGUCCCUGCAACUGGUGUUUGCAGCCAUGGCGGUGAUUCCAGUCUCCCUUGUCGUAUCGUAAGUAUUCGACAUCUGAGCCUCAAUGUUUGUUUUUUUGGGAAAAUAACAUAAACAUACACCUUAACUUGCUAAAUUUAUACAUAUUCACAUCCUUACAAAGUAGAGGUGAAAAGUUCAAAGGGCCUGUGAUUUCAAUUGUUGUUGUGAAAAAAAUAUAAAUUCUGAGCUAGGGGUUUAUCGGAAACCUUCUCUCUAUCUCACUUGUGAGCUAGUGGUUUGGACUGCAUACACUUACCCUCCUCGGACCCCACUUGGUGGGAAUAUACUGGGUUUGUUGUUGUUGUUAUUGUUAAAAUAUAAAUUCAACAACCCUUUUUCUCAGUUAAACUCAACGAAACGACUCCUCAAGUGUUUGCUUGUUCUCACCAAAUUCUCACACUCAAAGUGAGAAUCAAUGGUGGUAAUAGUUGUAGAGUAAAUUCUGAGGCUGUGAUGAAUGAUGAUGAUUUUCUUCUUUAUCUGAGCAAAUUGAUAGUACAGGAGAGAAAUUGGACCUGUAUCUUGGCGGGGCAACCCGGAUGAAAGGUUUCCCUGCAAGUGGUGUUUGCAGCCAUGGCGGUGAUUCCAGUCUUGUCGUAUCGUAAGUACUAGACAUCUGAGCCUCAAUGUUUGUUUUUGGAAAAAUAACAUAAACAUACACCUUAACUUGCUAUAUUUACACAAAUUCCCAUUCUUACAAAGUAAUUACAAAAAUCCCAACUAAUUGUCUAUCUUCGUUGGAUGUAUUAGAACCUAAUUACAUAUCUCGACAAACCCAAAAGCUGAAAGAAUGUAUCGGGAGCUAAUUAUGUAUCUUUACAAAGGAAAAAAUGUUUCUUCGUUGGUUGUAUCGGGAGCUAAUUAUGUAUCUUUACAAAGGAAAAACGUUUCUUCGUUGGAUGUAUUGAGAGCUAAUUAUGUAUCUUGAUAGAUCCAAAAUUUGGAUUUUGAGUAAUUAUGUAAAAUAUCAGGAUUUUCUAUGAUUAAGCUUCAAACUGUCGGGAUUUGUGUUGUUUCCUUGUUUUUUCUUAAAUGCAGUUGGGAAAUUGGUAUGUCGAAGAAAGCUCAGAGAUGAAGAAUAGAGAUGAAGAAUGAGGAUUGCAGAGAGCAGAGGGGAGAGGGGAAAGUUCAAAGGGAUGUUGCUCCUCUCUGCUAUGCCUGUGAUUUCAGUUUUUGCAGUGAAAAAAUAAAUAAAUUCAAGCCCUUUUUUCAGUUAAACUCAACCAAACGACCCCUUAAUCUUUGCCUGUUUUCUCCAAAUUCUCAACCCCAAAGUGAGAAUCAAUAGUAAUUGUAGUAGUAAUAAUAAUUGUAGCUAAAACUCUGAGGCUGUGAUGAUGAUUUACUUCUUUCUUUGAGCAAAUUAGUAGUGCAGGAGAACAAUAGGACCCGUAUUUGGCUUGGCGGGGCAACCUGGAUGGCAGUUGACCUUGUAACUGUUUCUUGCAGCCAUGGCGGUGAUUCCAGUCUGUCUUGCCAUAUCGUAAGUGUGAUAGAUCUGAGCCUCGAUCUAUGUUGCUCGGACUCUUCUAGAAUGUUGAUGGGUGCACAUAGAAUCCUCCAAGAGUAGUUCAUUUUUGGACCAUUCGACACGAGUGGGGCAACGUUUUUGAGAGUUCGAGCAACAUAGGCCACGAUUUGCUAAGGGUCUAUUGAAAAUCACCUCUUUAUUUCCACAAGGUAGAAGUGAGCUUACAUUGGUUGUUGUUGUUGCAGCUGGGAUAUUUACUGGUUGAAAAACACAAGAAUUUUCCAUAAAAGGAAAAUAGCUUAGCUCAAAAAGUAAAGAAGAAUGAGGGUUGGAGAGAGUAGAGAGGAAAAGUUCAAAGGGCUGUUGCUCCUCUCCGCAAUGCCUGUGAUUUCAGUUUUUGCUACGGAAAAAGAAUAAUUCAACAGCCCUUUUUUUUUUAAGGUUAAAAACUCAACGAAAUGUCUAUUAAUCUUUGCUUGUUUUCUCCAAACUCUCAACCCCAAGGUGGAAUUAGUAGUAGUAGUAGUAGUAAUAAUAAUGGUAGCAAAAAUUCUGAGGCUAUGAUGAUGAUUUUCUUCUUUCUUUCUCUGAGAAAUUCGUUAGUGCAGGAGAGUGAUUGGAUCUGUAUCUUGGCGGGGCAACCCGGAUGGCAGGUGACCUUGCAACCGGUGCUUGCAGCCAUGGUGGUGAUCCGGUCUCUCUUGCUGUAUUGUAAGUAUUCCAGAUCUGAGCCUCAAAGUUUGAUUUUUCAUAAAUGCAGCUGGGGAAUUGGCGGGUCGAAAAACACACGAGAAUUUCCCAAAAGCUCAGAGAUUAAGAAUGAGGGUUGUAGAGAGUAGAGGAGAAAGUUCAAAGGGCUGUUACUCUCUGCAAUGCCUGUGAUUUCAGUUUUUGCUGUGAAAAUGUAAAUAAAUUCAACAGCCCUUUUUCAGUUAAACUCAACCAAACGACCCCUUAAGUGUUUGCUUGUUCUCUCCAAAAUUCUCACAUCCAAACUGAGAAUCAAUUUUACUAGUAAUAAUUGUAGCAAAAAUCUAAGGCUAUGAUGAUGAUUUUCUUCUUUCUUUCUGAGCAAAUCAAUUUGGGCAGAAAGAAAUCGGACCCGUAUCUUGGCGGGGCAAUCCAGAUGGUAGGUAACCCUGCAACUGGUGCUUGCAGCCAUGGCGGUGAUUUCAGUCUCUUUUGCCAUAUUGUAAGUAUUACUGAUCUGAGCCUCAAUGUUUGAUUUGCUGAUAGUCCAUUGGGAACAAUCUCAUUACCUCCACAAGGUAGGAGUGAGAUCACACUGGGUUGUUGUUGCAGCUGGGAAAUUCACAGGUCUAUAAUCACAUGAGAAUUUCCAAUAAAAGGAAAAAAGUUUAGCUCAGAAACGAAGAAUGAGGAUUUGCAAAGAGUAGAGGAGAAAAGUUGAAAGGGCUGUUGUUCCUCUCUGCAAUGCCUGUGAUUUCACGUUUUGCUGUGAAAAAGUUUAGACGUAAUACAUAAACAUGCCCUUUAACAUAAACUUGAACUGGCAUCUAUGUCCUUCAACUUUGCUGUGCACAUGUAGUCACUUAAACUCUUAUAAAGUUGAACAAGUGAACAAUAAUAGUUGUUGGGGAAGUUCUGAGGCUAUGAUGAUGAUUUUCUUCUUUCUUUCUUUGAGCAAAUUAAUAGCGCAGGAGAGCAGUUGGACCCGUAUCUUGGCGGGGCAACCCGGAUGAGAAGGUGACCAUGCAACCGGUGCUUGCAGCCAUGGCGGUGAUCCAGUCUCUUUUGCUAUAUCAAAAGUAUUACAGAUCUGAGCCUCAAUCUAUGUAGCUCGAACUCUUUGAGAAUGUCGAUGUUCGAUACAAGUGUGGUAAUAUUUUUGAGAGUCUGAGCAACAUAGUCACGGGUUUGCUUUGAAAUUUCAGCUCUGAAGAAUGAGGCAUCAGAGAAUUGGAAGUUUCUGUAAAGGGUGGUUGCCCAUCUCUGCUUUGCCAGUGAUUUCACCAUUGAUGACCAAAAAACCCAACAUCCCUUUGAAAUAACCCAAAAGAAGAAGAAAGCAAAUUGAAAAUACUUCAUCCAAACACACCCCUAUACUGUUCCUGCUCUUGUUCUUCCUCUGUCUCUGUGCUGCUGCUGUUAUGCUGUAAAGGGGCUGUGAUGAUUGCUUGCUUCCUUUCUGGGCUAUGUUCAAUCAUGUCAUUUAGAGAAUAUCCGAUCCGUUUCUUGGCAGGGCGACCCAGUACGGUUUUGUAUAGAAAACUGGUGUCUGCAGCCAUGGUGGCGUCACUCUUCUCUUUUGCUUUGUUCAAAUACAGCAAAUCUGAGCCCUCAAUAACCCAUUUCAUAUAAUGGUUGUUUGAGCUAAUUAACUCCGUGCAUUAGAUUUUUGUUACCUGGAUUUUGGCAUGGCAACCUAAAUUUCUGUGAUUCGUAGCCAUGGCAGAUUUCCAGAAAUUUCAAUGCUCUAGAUACAAAUCUGAGCCGCCAGCUAUUAACAUAGUAGUAGUAGUUGUUGAACUCUGCAUCCAAGGGUGUGUGGCCUAGUGGUCGAUGAAGUGGGAUGAGAGCCUAAGGUCUUGGGUUUGAAUCCCAGCAGAGACAAAAAGCACUAGGUGGUUCUACCUAGCUGUCCUAGCCUUGGUGGAUAGAGUUACCUGAUAUCUGUAGCUGGUGGGAGGUGACAGGUAUCCCAUGGAUUUAGUCGAGGAGUUGUUGGACCAUCGAUUUGAUUUAUAAGAUUAAUAUAAAGAAGCCUAAUACCUUUGCAAAUUAUGCAACCAUUUUCUCAAAGUAGCAGUGAUAAUAUAUUCUUAUCUGAGCUUCGGGAAUAAAGACAAUCCGACCUGUAUCUUGGCUUGAAAACCUCCCGAUGCUGUGUGAUUUAAGGCUUGUCUUUCACAUACAACAGCCAACCGGUACUUUUGCAGCUGCAGUGUGGUCCCUUUCUCUUUUCCCCAUUAGAAGGUCAGAUCUGAGCAUCAAAAUCGCAAGUAGUCCCGGACUUUUGAUUGGUGGAAACCAAACCCAUUUAACUUAUUUUGAAGCCAGUUCAAUGAGGCUUCAUUGCGAAAUGCGAAUUAUUUGUUUAUUUAUUUAUUUAUUUAUUCAUUCAUUCAUUCAUUCAUUCAUUCAGUUUUGCUAGUAGGCCCAAGAUUUCUUGCUGCUGUGUGACUGCAUGAACACCUAAGCAGCGAGAAUCAUACUAGAAAAAGGUGAAAUUGAGGCAGUGAUGUUAUAGUUCUUGACUAACAGAAGCUACAAGUUAAGCAUAGCCUAGAAAGGAAGAAAAAUGAGGCAUCAGAGAAAUUGGGAUUUUCUGUGAAAGGGUGGUUGCCCGUCUCUGGUUUGCCCGUGAUUUCUCCAUUAAUGGAAAAAAAACCAACAGCCCUUUGAAAUAAACAAGAAAAACAACUACUUCAUACCAAACACACCCUUAUAUGCUUCUUGUGCUUGCUCUUUCUCCUCUCUUUGUGCUGCUAAAAUGUUGUGAAGGGGCUAUGUUCAAUCAUGGCAAUUGAGAAAAUAUCCGACCCGUAUCUUGGCAGGGCGACCGACCUCAUUAGCAAACUGGUGUCUGCAGCCAUGGCGGUAUUGCUUCUUCUCUUUUGCUUUGUUAAAAUACAGCAAAUCUGAGCCCUCAAUUAACCCAUUACUAUAACAUCAGCAACCUUACCCUUCAAUAACCUGUUAUGGGUUUGCGUUGAAAUUUAUGCUCUGAAGAAUGAGGCAUUGGAGAAAUUGGGAUUUUCUGUAAAGGGUGGUUGCCCAUAUCUGCUUUGCCCGUGAUUUCUCCAAAAAAAAAAAAAAAGAAAAACCAACAGCCCUUCGAAGUAUACAAAAGAUAUAGGAAAAAGGGUCAAAUUUACCCCUUUGAAAAAUUGGGUAAAUAUAUCUUUCGUUAUACUUUGGGGUCAAAUUUGCCCUCGCUGUCAUACUUUGGGUCUACAUUUACCCCUCUAUUUUUGAAAAUUGACUAAUAUACCCUUCGUCAUACUUAAAAGGCCAAAUUUACUCUCGUUUUUAAAAAACUUUUCAUAGGUACCCUUUCUUUAAGCGGGUCCCUUCUGUUUUGCUUUGUCAUAAAAUACAGCAAAUCUGAGCUCUCAAUAAGCAUUUCAUUUCAGGUCUAAAGAAAUGAGGCAUAGGAGUAAAUUUUGGGGAUUUCUUGGGCGGUUGACCUUCAACUUGACAAAAACCCUUCUGUGCAUGUAUGUAUGACAACGAUAGUAUAUCCAGUGUAAUCCCGCAAGUGGGUGAAUAUGUAUGUAUGCGUGUAUACAUGUUGAUGGACAAUCCUGUUUGGAUGGUUGUCCACAUUGGUAUUGUAUUUUUGUUUUGGAAAACUAUACGAGAUGCAAUUACAAUGAAGCUAUAAAAAGCACCUCAUUGGCACCUUAAGUUCUGGGGUAAGUUUUUAAUAGGGAUGUGAUUGAUUUUUCUGAGCUUAGAUUGCAUCAGGAUUUGAUAGGCCCUAUCUUGGCGCGGCAGUCCGAUUUCGGGAUUUGCAGCCAUGGAGGUGGUGAGAUUUCCGUGCCCAAGAUGGAAUACAGAUCUCAGCCUCAAAAUCUUUGUUAUUAUCUUCUCCAUUUGACCAAUAUGUUGUGUUCUAGAUUUCAGCUUGCUUGCUGUCAUUUGAGAUGGGAAUGUGGUGGGCUAUUCUUUUGUUUCUCAAUUUGCGUUGAAAUGUUUUGUUGGGGUUAUUCGAAUUCGGUCCUUUCAUAAUUCGUUUAAUUCUAUUGGAGCAGGAACUGAUAAUGCAUGAUACUUUGUGUUCUCGAUAUGGGAACCAAAUAAAUAUAGGAAAAUAAUUAGAUAGAUUAAGUUCUUUCUAUGUUUGGUAGAGGGGGGUGGGUGAAGUUGUAGUAGAGUUGAAAGAAAUCAUUAUCUCAUCUGAAUUGCAUAAAUUUGUGCAUAUUUUUAGCAUAAGGUCUUUUUUAUUUUAGCAUGUUUACAAGAUAAAGGAGAAUCCAGUCCAGAAUGAAGAAUGAGCCCGACACAAAGUAAGGUACUCCAGGCAAAAUAUCAAAUAUAAUGGGAAAAAUGGUGCUGUUGUAUCAUCGUGCUAAUUGAAUCAAACAUUGGAAUUGAGAUGCUGAUAUGUUGUCUGUGAAAUCCAAAUUGCAUUUUCUACGAUAUAAAUCAAGGCCUUCCAAUUUGCAGACACCUAUGCUUCUAAAAUGGUGAGUUAUAGUACGUCAGGAAUUGAAUUCAUCAGAAACAAUUUUGACGUUAGUCAAAUCUUUCUUCAACUUGUUUGCUGACUUUUCUUUCGCCACACAUAAUAACAAAGCAUUAUAAAGCCUUUCUUAGCAAAUUGUGAGUAUGACUACUCAUCUAAUUUUCUCCUUGAUAUUUGCGUAUUAAAAGGAUUAAUAACUUCAUGCACAAUCAUGUUAAGAAUGUGUUCAACUGUUCUGAUUACAUCUUGCAUAAGUUAACUACUUAAAGUUUUCAUUACAAACAUGUUGCAAAAUCGUUGGCAAUAUAUUCCAACAUAUCUCAUAAAUCUUUUUUUAAAAAUAUUUGUAACACUAAUUGCAGUAUUAUUGUGGCAAAUGGGUCUUACUUAAGUCUACUGUAGGUUGCACGUGGCAAGUUGGUGACCAGCAAGUGUAAUUGCUGUAAAUUCACAGUGAAUGAGGUUUAGAUAUAAAUCAUAUCUAUAUAUAUUAUUAUAGUCGAUAUUUAUCUGUAUAUAUUAUUAUAGUCAAAAACAUGAUCAUAUUUUAUUACCUGAAAAAUAUUUGAAGUCAUUUCAAUUGUUACAUGUCACCACAAGCAAUAAUAGCAUGAUACUUUUCUAGUAGACGGACUAAACAAGAAACUAGAUAUUAGUGCACUGUAUAACUACAAGUUUUUUCGUCCGCAUAUGUAACACUGGAGGUUGAGCCCUGAAGGAAGAAUGAGGCGAGGGGCUUCUCGGACGGCGGUUGAGCGCCCUUGUCAUCCAAAACUUCCACAAUUUCUUGAAAUCAAUGGAAGAGUAACAAUUUCCUGUAAGAGGCAGUGAUGAUAUUUGUUCAUUGGGGCAUUUUCUCAAAUGACCUUUUCUAAGGCUAUUAUUUAAAUUUUUCCUCAUUUCUGUUGGGGCAUUGAGACAUCCCGACCCCCAUUUUGCCUUGGCAAACACCGGAAUGGUCUGUGAUUUGAGGUUUCUCUUUCACUUGCAAUUGAUUCUAUUGCAGCUAUGGCGUGGUCGCCUUCUCUUUGCCCCAUCAGACACGGAGAUCUUGAGCCUCAUUUUCUAAAUUUCGUUUUGAUGACACUGGAAUCAAACACGAGACCUUCUUUAAUGGAAUCUCAUUUUGCCUCGUUUCUAAGAGAAUUAGGAUUUUUCCUUCUCUUGAUGUGGUAAGUCUGUGGAAUUCUUUUCACAAUAGAUAACAACACCCUCUUUUAUCGAACCGUUGAUUAGCCUUCAAUGGACGGUUGUUUUCUGGAAUUGGGAUUCUUCAGUUUUAUGUGUUAGACUGACGUGAUAACCAACUAUCACCACAUCAUUUCUGCCAAAGGCUUUGAGGCUUUGGGGAAUGAUUCUCAUUGUAGAUGACCGACCAUCUUCGACAUGCCAAUGCUUUCUGUCUCUCUCUAAACCAGGCAGCCUUUUCUGUAUGCAUGUUUCUGUAUAUGAAAAUAUGUGAAUAUGUACUUAUGUUUCAGCUAUCUUAAUUUGUCCUCAGUGGCUGUGUUCCAAAGCAAUGAACUCGAUAAGGGGAAACAAGAGGGCAGUGAUGAUAUUGCUUGCUGAGUUAAUUAACAUCGGGCAUUAAAUUUCUCUCACGUAUAUCUUCUCAUGGCAACUUAUUUUUGAACUUGAAUUUCUGGAUUCACAGUCCAAUGUCCUGACCGCGAGGUCCACUUGAUUAGGUUUUCAGAAAUGUCAUUCCUCCAGAUAUAAUCUGAGCCUCCGGCUGAAAGCAAAGCAUUAACAUAGUAGUGGUAGUAGUCCUUGGACCUUCGGUUUGAUUUAUUUGUUCAUUCAGUCAUUUUCGCUUUUAAGAACAAGAUUCCUUGCUGCUCCAUGGCUGUGUGAACACCUAAUCAGCGAGAAUCAUACUAGAAAAAGAUGAAAUUGAGGCAGUGAUGAUGUGGUUCUUGGCAAACAGUAGCUACAAGUUGAGCAUAAUCUAGAAAGGAAGAAAAAUAAGGCAUCAGAGAAAUUGGCGUUUCCUGUAAAAGGGUGGUUUCCCAUAUCUGCUUUGCCUGUGAUUUCUCCAUUCAAGGACAAAAAAAAAAAACCAACAGCACUUUGAAAUAAACAAGAAAAACAACAACUUCAUACCAAACACACCCUUAUAUGCUUCUUACUCUCGCUCUUUCUCCUCUCUUUGUGCUGCUGAAAUGUUGUGAGGGGGGCUAUGAUGAUUGAUUGCUUCCUUUCUGGGCUAUGUUUAAUCAUGGCAAUUGAGACAAUAUCCGACCCGUAUCUUGGCAGGGCGACUCGGUUAGCAAACUGGUGUCUGCAGCCGUGGCGGAGUUGCUGCUUCUCUUUUGCUAUGUAAAAUACUGCAAAUCUGAGCCCUCAAUAUCCCGUUACUACGACUACAACGACAACAACAUACCCAGAAAUGGGGGUCUGUGUAUAUGCAGCCUUACCUUUCAAUUACCCAUUUGCGUCGGAAAACCCAUUACAGGUUUGCGUUGAAAUUUCAGCUCUGAAGAAUGAGGCAUUAGAGAAAUUGGGAUUUUUUGUAAAGGGUGGUUGCCCAUAUCUGCUUUGCCAGUGAUUCCUCAAAAAAAAAAAAAAAAAAAAACCAACAGCCCUUUGAAAUAUACAAAAAACAAAAAACAAAAUCCAAAAUUCUUCGUACCAAACACACCCUUAUAAUUCUUUGUGUUCUUUCUCUUUCUCCUCCUUUUGUGCUGCUAAAAUGUUGUUUAGGGGCUAUGAUGUAUGAUUGCUUCCUUUCUGAGCUAUGUUCAAUCAUUGCAACUGAGAAAAUAUCCAACCCGUAUCUUGGCAGGGCAACCCGGUUAUAGCUUUGAAUAGCAAACUGGAGUCUGCAGCCAUGGCAGCGUCGCUUUUCUCUUUUGCUUUGGUCAAAUACAGCAAAUCUGAGCCCUCAAUAACCCAUUACUCCAUUACUGCAAUAACAACAUAACCAGAAAUGGGGUCUGUGAAAAGUGUAUUAAGCGUUACCCUUCAAUAACCAAUUUGGUCGGAAAACCCGUCACAGGUUUGCAUUGAAAUUUUAGCUCUGAAGAAUGAGGCGUCGGAGAAAUUGGGAUUUUCAGUAAAGGGUGGUUGCCCAUCUCUGCCUUGCCAGUGAUUUCGCCAUUGAUGACCGAAAAAAACCAACAGCCCUUUGAAAUAAAUAAAAAGGAAAAAAAGAAGAAUGAAAAUUGAAAAAAGUUCUUUGUGCUGCCACUGCUGCUAAUGAUGCUGAUGUUGGAAAGGGAGACCCACUGAUGGCGUUGAAUAGCGAACUGAUGUCUGCAGCCAUGUGGGAGAAUGCUCUGCUCUUUUGCUUUGUUCUGAAACAGCAAAUCUGCGCCCACAAUAAGCCGUUUCAUGGAUUGGAUGCCAUGGCGCAGUUCUCUUUCGUUGUAGAAAAUACAGACCCCUCAAGCCCUCGUCUGUAAACCCCUCCCCCUACCUCAGAAAAGAAUAGGAGGAGGAACAUCGCGGCGGUGCCUCUCUUCGGUCAAGCCCUCAAUAACUCAUUCAGGGCGACCCAGUUAUGGCUUUGAAUAGGAAACUGGUGUCUGUAGCCGUGGCGACGUUGCCCUUCUCUUUAGCUUUGUUUGAAAACAGCAAAUCUGAGCACUCAAUAACCUAUUUCAGGGUGUCUUUGGUGGCAAAAUAUCAAAAAAAAUUGGGGAAAAUGGUGUUGUUUUGUCAUGGUGCUAAAAAAAUGUACAUUGGAAUUGAGAUGCUGAUAUCUCGAGAAUUCCAGUCCUUCCAAUUUGCCAAUGCCUUUGCUUCUGUGAUGGUCUCAGACAAACAUUAGCAUGAACAAUGGUGAUUGCUCCCAGAAGAAAGAAUGAGGCCAACAAGGAUAAGAGGGACUUUUAAGAGGGUGGUUGACCCCUCUGUUUGGCCUAUGAUUUCUCAAUUAACAAAACUAACAGCCCUCUUCUUCUGAAAACCAAGAAACCAAAUAUCUGGCGCCUUCGUUGCUCUGUUGCUGGAUCUUUAGUCCAAAAUUUUCUCAAUGUCUGGAAAUCUAUGGAAGAGUAACAUUUUCUGAAAGAGGCCGUGAUGAUACUUGUUAAUCGGGGCAUUUGCACAAAUGGCCUUUUCUAAAGCCACUGUUUAAAUUGUCCUCAUUUCUAUUUGGGCAUUGAGAUAUCCCGACCAAUAUCUUGGCUUGGUAAAAACUGGAAUGGGCUGUGAUUUGAGGCUUUCUCCUUCACAUGCAACCGGUUCUUUUGCAGUCAUUUGCAGUCAUGGCGUGGUCGCCUUCUCUUUGCCCCAUUAGAAAACUGAGAUCUGAGCCCCAUUUUCCAAAUUUCCUUCCGGACAACCCGGGAAUCGAACACGUAACCUUUUUUGAUGGAAAAAGAUCAAUAACAUCCUUUUUAUGCACCCAUUGAUUAGUCUUCAAUGGGAAGUGUUCUCUGGAAUUGGGAUUCUUCAAUUCUCUGUGUUAGACUGACAUGAUAGCCAACUUCACCAGGCAACCUUUUCUGUAUGCAUGUUUUUGCAUAUGAGUAUAUGUGGAUUUGUGCAUAUGUUUCCGUCGUCUUUAUUUUUUCCUCACUUGUUGUGUUCCAAAUCAAUGAACUCCAAAAGAGGAACCAAUAUGGCUGUGAUGAUAAUGUUUGUUGAGCUAAUUAAACAUCGGGCACUGGAUUUUUGUUGCCUGUAUCUUGGCUUGGCAACUUGAAUUUCUUCAAUUUGCAGUCAUGGCAGGUGGCAGAAAAGCCGAUGCCCAUACAAAUCUGAGCCUCCAGUUGAAAGCAAACAUUAACUGUCUAGUAGUAGUACUUGGACCUCAAUCUGGUUAAUGGCAGUGAUGAUAUUUGCUUAUCUGGGCUUCAAGAAUAAAGACAAUCAGACCCGUAUCUUGGCUUGGCAAACCCUAGAUGCUAUGUGAUUUAAGGCUUCUCUACUACAGGCAACUGGUACUUUUGCAGCCAUGGUGUGGUUUCUCUUUUCCCGAUUGAUAACCCAGAUCUGAGCCUCAAAAUUGCAAGUAGUCAUGGACAUUGUUUGGUGGAAGCCCAUAUUCACUUAUUUUGGAAGCCACCUCAUAAAUGAGGCACCAAAGAGAAUUAUUCAUUUAUUUAUUUAUUUAUUUGUUCAUUCAGUCAGUUCUACUGAUGUUCUGGCUUUGUGAACGCCAACAGCGAGAGUCAUACUUGAAAAAGGUGAAACAUUGAGGCAGUGAUGAUAUGGUUCUUGGUAAACCGGCAGCAAGACAUGGUUCUGUGAGUGUAUCUAAGUCCAAAUUCUGCUCGAACUUAGUCAGACAUAUAUAGAAAACUUGCUACUUAUGGAUCCAGAUUCUUUUCCCUCAAUUCAUUAUAGUUGUUCUAUGAUGGCUAAAUUCAUUGCUAUUUUCUUUUCCCCUUUUCACCAUGGAGGGUGUGGCGAAUUGGUCAGAACUUCCAUAGAAUCUACUUAUUACAAUAGCGACGCUUGCAACAGUUAUGGGGGAUUUCGUUGUAUUUGGUGCUGUUUGUAAAUCAUGGCGAAGUGCUGCUACUAACGAAAAUUUUGAUGUCUCAUCUCCCGAAAUUGCUUUGCUUAUGCUGACUGCUGGUAAAGAUGAUGAUUACCGAGAAUUUUACUCUGUUUCCAUGGAGAAAGGUUCAAGCAGUUUUCUCCCAGUAGCUAAAGCGAGAUCGUGUCUUUCAACACAGGGAUGGCUUUGCACUGUGCAAUAUACAGGUAUCGGAGAUAUGUGUGGUUGCAUCCUUUCUCAUGAACCCAAAUUCAGCUUCCUCCACAUACUUCCUCCAAACACACCCCUAUGCUCUCUUGCUCUUCAUCUGUCUCUUUGUGCUGCUGCAGCUAUUGAUGUUGUAGAGGGGCUGUGAUGAUUGCUUGCUUUCCUUUCUGGGCUAUGUUCAAUCAUGGCAUUAAAAAUAUACCCGAUCUGUAUCUUGGCAGGGUGACCCAGUUAUGGCUUUGAAUAGCAAACUGAUGUCUGCACCGAUGGCUGCAUCAAUCUUCUCUUUUGCUUUGUUAAGAAAUACAGAAAAUCUGAGCCCUCAUUAACCCAUUUCGUGGUCUUCCAUGGUGAGUCCAUUCUCAGAUUUGCAAACCUAUUAUGGUUUUGUGUUGAAAUUUCGGCUCUGAAGAAUAAGGGAGAAAAUGAUAAAAAUGGUCUCUUAUGUUUGAGGAUAUGUCUAAGAUAGUCCCUUAAGUAUGCAUUUAACAAUUUUGGUACUUUAAGUUUGCCAAAAUUUUAACAUUUUUAGUCUCCGUAAAAUAUUUAUUGAGUUCGAUUAGAUUUGAAGGAGAUGGUGGGGAAAAAGGGAAAUUAGUGGGAGCUCACAACAACAACCCAGUGAAAUGUAAGAGGAGGGAAGGGGAGGGUUUUGUUUACGCAGCCUUACCUCUACCUUGUGAAGGUUAAAGGGUGGUGAGCUCCCGCUAAUUUUUGGGAUUUCUUGGGUGUUUGACCUUCUCAGAUAUGCCGAUGAUUUAGGGGUCAAGCUAUAGAAUUUCCCCAGAAAUGAGGCAAAACAGAGAGUUUGGGAUUUUCUUUGAAGGGUGGUUGCCCCUUUCUGUUCCACCAUUGAUUGUCCUCCAUUAUCAACCAACAGCCCUUGUUUAUGGAAAAACCAAAAUGGAUUUAACAUAUAUACGCUGAGACUUUGUCUUUCUUCUCUGUGUGUGUAUGUGUGUGUUUUACAGUGUUGAUGAAAUGUUCAUGAAGAUGCAGUGAUGAUGAUGUUUCUAUACUGGGCUAACCAAUUUGAGCUUUGAGAUAUUCAACCCAUAUUUGGUGAGACGACCUGGCUUCUGUCUCUCACAUGCAACUGGUGUUUGCAGCCAUGGCAUGGUUGGCUUCUGUUUUGUGGAACUUUUGCCUUAUCAUAACAUACAUCUGAGCCCCAUUUCUUUGAAAAGAAAGAAGAAGAAUAAUCUUUCUGUGAUUUACUGCUACAAGCUAUAAAUCUUCUUGUAGUCCUAUUGUAUCAUCAUAUUUGUUCAGUAUCCGCUGAGCAUAGCCUAGAAAAAAAAGAAGAAUGAGGCAAUGGGGAGAUUGGGAUUUUCUGUAAAGGGUGGUUGCCCCUCUCUGGUCUGCCCGUGAUUUCUCCAUUGAUAACCAAAAGGUCAACAGCCCUUUGAAAUAAACAAGAAAAAACAAAGAAAAAAAGAAAAAACUUUCAUCCAAACACAUCCUUUGUACUGCUGCUUCUGAACUUAUAAAGGGGCUUGCUUUCUUUUCUGGGCAAUGUUCAAUCGUCGAAUCGAAAAAAAUCUGACCCGUAUGUCGUCAGGGCGACACUGUACGGCUUUGAGUAGCAAACUGGUGUCUGCAGCCAUGGUAGCAUCACUCUUUCUUUAUUUUGUUCAAAUACAGCAAAUUGGAGCCCUCAAUAAUCCAUUUCAUGGUUUACUGUGUUAAGUACAUUCGCGGUCAAGGAACUCUUAAUUGAAAUUUCAGCUCUGAAUAAUGACGCAUUGGAAAAAUGGGAAAUUCGAAGGUGAAAAAAAAAAAGGAAUUCCCCCCCAAAAUGGAAAAUGGUUAACCCAAAAAUGAGGCAAAACAGAGAGUUUGGGAUUUUCUUUAUUGGGAGCUUCCCCUCUCUGU